UACGAAGGGUGCAAGCGUUAAUCGGAAUUACUGGGCGUAAAGCGUGCGUAGGUGGUUGGUUAAGUCUGAUGUGAAAGCCCUGGGCUCAACCUAGGAAUGGCAUCGGAUACUGACUGACUUGGAGUUUGGGAGAGGGUGAUGGAAUUCCCGGUGUAGCGGUGAAAUGCGUAGAGAUCGGGAGGAACAUCAGUGGCGAAGGCGGUCACCUGGCCCAAAACUGACGCUGAUGCACGAAAGCGUGGGGAGCAAACAGG
RNAcentral lists this ribosomal RNA (254 nucleotides) under uncultured bacterium. RNAcentral's name for it is "partial 16S ribosomal RNA". It matches the Rfam family "Bacterial small subunit ribosomal RNA", at positions 524 to 776 of the family's 1533-position model. The record is from RNAcentral.